CGGCACGGGUGAGUAACACGUGAGUGACCUGCCUUUUAGACUGGAACAACUUACCGAAAGGUGAGCUAAUGCCGGAUGAGUUAUAUAAGUGCAUGUUUAUAUAGGAAAAGUUGGGGAGACCUGACGCUGAAAGAUGGACUCGCGUCCCAUUAGCUAGUUGGUAGGGUAAUGGCCUACCAAGGCGACGAUGGGUAGCCGGCCUGAGAGGGUGGCCGGCCACAUUGGGACUGAGACACGGCCCAAACUCCUACGGGAGGCAGCAG
Molecule: ribosomal RNA, 263 nt
Filed under: uncultured bacterium
Lineage: Bacteria
Description: partial 16S ribosomal RNA
Rfam family: Bacterial small subunit ribosomal RNA
Source: RNAcentral